RNAcentral lists this ribosomal RNA (1431 nucleotides) under Triticum aestivum (bread wheat). RNAcentral's name for it is "partial small subunit ribosomal RNA". The record is from RNAcentral. Lineage: Eukaryota; Viridiplantae; Streptophyta; Magnoliopsida; Poales; Poaceae.
AUGUACCCAAAGCGCCGUUCGGCCGUGACUGCGUGCAGCAUCAAGCUCCCCUCGGGCCUGACUGCGUGCAGCAGCAAGCGCCCUCGACUCAUAGCUGCCGCCGCCAUCUCAUAUCCAUCUUCGUGGGCGUCUCUUCAGGCAGAUUUAGUUCGCCUGAUCGGGUGGAGGGUGUUGGCGAGCGACUUGAGGGACUAUGUCCGCUUCCGCGCCGUUUGCCCCCACUGGCGGUCUAGCUCCGUCUGCCCACGCGGCCGUGGUGUUGUCGACCCGCGCUUUCACCCGCGCCGGUGGAUGAUGCUGCCCGAGGGCCACGGCCUGUAUCCUGGCCACGGCAGGCUACAUGGGUACAUCCGCUUUAUCAACCUCUCCACUGGCGCCAUCGUCCGUUGCCUGCUCCCGCUUUUCAGAGAUCACUGCAUCCUCGACUCGGUCGAUGGUCUCCUCCUCUUGCAACGGGACGAAGACACCGCCAUCCGCCUCCUCCACCCAUUCACUGGAGACAUUGCAGAGCUGCCGCCACUUGCGACCCUCAUGCGUCUUCCUGGAGCCAAGAAAAAUGUUGAAAUGGUCUGGACGUAUCUUAGAAACAUCGGUGCCACGUCUGUCAGUGUUAGUGCAGCUGGAGUCAUCACUGUCAUGAUUGUAGUUUAUAAGCUAUCGAUUUUAGCCUUUGCUACCACCAGGGACCAUCAAUGGAAUGUUGCAAGCUGGGUGCUCCCACCAAUUGGGAGGCUAAUAUCAUCCCAAGGCAAGCUAUACAUGAUGGAUACUUCCACAUUUUACACUAGUGGUUCUGGAGACACUCAGAUCUUCCAGAUCAAUCCACCCCAGCAUGAAGAGAUGGGUUCAGGUUCGUCUUCGAUGCCAUCAAAGAAGUUGAUUGCUACAUGCUGGGCUGGCAAAAUGCCUGCCCCUCAAUACCUGGCAGAAUGUGACUCAGAGGUCCUGGUGAUUGGGUAUAGCGACGGAUUUUUUACGCACCCUUUGGUUUACAGACUGUCUGACCUUAUCCUUCGGGCUGUCCCGGUAACUAGUAUUGGAGACAAUGUUCUGUUUAUUGAUGAAAGGAUUCUGAGUGAACUGUAUUUGGCAGAACGCCACCUCAAUAGUGACACAUGGUUACAGGCAGCGGAUGGACGUAUUGCGAACUGUCAUUUAUCGAGGCCCUAUAGCCUCAUUUAUCAUAUCUUCACCUGUUGCCAUCGUGCUUCUUGGAACAAAGGAACGAUUCUUUACCAGUUUAAGAAUCAGAAUAAUUGGAAAGUGAAGAGAAAGUGGCGCCAGGGGGUAAGUCUGAACUGCAAUACUACCUCGAUUCUAUUGCAGUGGAUGCAUUUUUGGCUCUUUUUAUUUCUGCUCAAGGUUUUUAAGGCGGUAAGGCGUCAUAAGGUGAUCAACGCCGGCCUUACCGCCCAAGUGCAUAAGUCGUAA